AGAAGACAACAAUAGUCAAUCAUGAAGCUCAUCUUUCUGACUGCAAGUGUGCUUUUUCUCAUUACAUUGACUAAGGCCUCAGAGCUUGAAGGCUUUGAAGACUUUGAAGAGAGGAACGAUAUUGAUCAAAGUGAGGCUGAUGAUGCUUUGGCUCCAAAAGCUGCAGCAACAAGUCUGUGCAGCAUUGAUAUGAAGGCACUCAAUGCAGUAAUAAACAAGGCCAUUGAUUCAAAAUUUCAAAAUCAGCCAGUGAGUCAGAUUUUCAACUGUGGACUGAUGUAGCCAGAAAUUUGAAUAUCCAAAAAAUAAAUGGAGGGACACUCCAGGCUGAGGGCAAGAUACUUGAGAAAAUUGCAAUUGGAAGUGGUACCGCUGCUAAAAAUGGUGCAUAUCUGGCUUAUCGACCGAAAUACAAUGCUGAUCAUAAAACUGGUCUUGCAGGGGGCCAUAUUUAUAAACCUCGAGAAGCUAUUCCCAUGUGCCAAGUCAGCGAUUCGUCCUAUAUGCAGCAGGUCCACAUUUGAGGAGGAUGGAUUCCUGAAAGGAAAGGCACUCAUCAAAGCUGCUGAUUCUAGCAAUAACCUAAAAAUCUUUGGCAACAACAUCAACACCUACGGGAUUGCAAUUCAAGGCUGUUCAUAUCUUAAUGGAUAUAAUGGCUGCCUUCCUAAAUAUUAUCAA
Amphimedon queenslandica is the source of this 681-nucleotide long non-coding RNA. RefSeq lists it as uncharacterized. The record is from RefSeq and is a predicted model, not a curated record. The transcript is spliced from 2 exons. Lineage: Eukaryota; Metazoa; Porifera; Demospongiae; Haplosclerida; Niphatidae.